RNAcentral lists this small RNA (233 nucleotides) under Vigna angularis var. angularis. RNAcentral's name for it is "Non-protein coding transcript". Lineage: Eukaryota; Viridiplantae; Streptophyta; Magnoliopsida; Fabales; Fabaceae. The record is from RNAcentral.
GUGCAUGUAUUGCUUGAAUAUUAGUCUUCAGUUUUUCGCUCUCCACUUCUGCUUAAAGAUGGUCCAGCAUACAAGGCUCACAUGUGGGGCCUUAGUUAGUAUUUUGACUAAACUUUGACGGCUUUUGUAUGGGAAUUACACAGAAUCUCAUGGGAUAGAGAUGAGUUUUUUGUUCAUCUUGCCCUUGUCAUCAAGUGCUGGAUCAGGACUAAAAUAAAUUUAGGGAAAAACUG